This 774-nucleotide ribosomal RNA is filed under the name uncultured Neocallimastigales. RNAcentral describes it as "partial large subunit ribosomal RNA". It matches the Rfam family "Eukaryotic large subunit ribosomal RNA", at positions 24 to 644 of the family's 3401-position model. Lineage: Eukaryota; Fungi; Neocallimastigomycota; Neocallimastigomycetes; Neocallimastigales. The record is from RNAcentral.
AUGUGAUCGUCUCUCGCAUAUCAAUAAGCGGAGGAAAAGAAACUAACAAGGAUUCCCCUAGUAACGGCGAGUGAAGCGGGAAGAGCUCAAAUUUGAAAUCUGGCAGCCUUCGGUUGCCCGAGUUGUAAUCUAGAGAAGUGUUUUCCGUGCCGGCCCAUGUACAAGUCCCUUGGAGCAGGGCGUCAUAGAGGGUGAGAAUCCCGUAUUUGACCUUUACUUUCAACUUUGUGAUACACUUUCAAAGAGUCGGAUUGUUUGGGAAUGCAGUCCAAAAUGGGUGGUAAAUUUCAUCUAAAGCUAAAUAUUGGCGAGAGACCGAUAGCGAACAAGUACCGUGAGGGAAAGAUGAAAAGAACUUUGAAAAGAGAGUUAAACAGUACGUGAAAUUGUCAAAAGGGAAGCGUUUGACACCAGUGUUGUUUUUCUGAAAAUCAAUUAAAGAACUGUUUAUGCUAAGCUGUUUAGACUUUAUCAGCUAAUCUGUUUAGUUUUGAGCUUUUCUUUAAUGCACUUUUCAGUUAACAAGUCAACAUCAAUUUCUUUUGCUGUAAAAAAGCUUGAGGAAGGUGGCUUGAGAUUCGUCUUAAGUGUUUAUAGCCUCUUGCCUAUGCAGUCGGAGAGAUUGAGGUCUGCAGCGUAGAUCCUUCGGGGCUAAAUGCAUUUGUGCUAAGUUAUAGCAUUUUAUAGACAACUUGUUGACUAUGAUUUGUCUUGUAGCUUACUCGCUUAUGUUAUUUUACCUACGCUUAGGAUGUUGAAGAUAUGCGCGACACG